Molecule: ribozyme, 76 nt
Filed under: Crocodylus porosus (Australian saltwater crocodile)
Lineage: Eukaryota; Metazoa; Chordata; Crocodylia; Crocodylidae
Description: Mammalian CPEB3 ribozyme (ENSCPRG00005019093.1)
Rfam family: Mammalian CPEB3 ribozyme
About the family: The mammalian CPEB3 ribozyme is a self cleaving RNA located in the second intron of the CPEB3 gene which belongs to a family of genes regulating messenger RNA polyadenylation.
Source: Rfam by way of RNAcentral
CCUGGAUACCUGAGGCCAUAGCAGAAGCGCUCAUGGUGCAGCCCUGUCAAAUUCCAAGAAAUCUGUGAAUUCUGCU